Molecule: ribosomal RNA, 463 nt
Filed under: uncultured bacterium
Lineage: Bacteria
Description: bacterial SSU rRNA
Rfam family: Bacterial small subunit ribosomal RNA
Source: RNAcentral
CCAGACUCCUACGGGAGGCAGCAGUGAGGAAUAUUGGUCAAUGGCCGAGAGGCUGAACCAGCCAAGUCGCGUGAGGGAGGACGGCCCUACGGGUUGUAAACCUCUUUUGUCAGGGAGCAAGGGACAGGUCGUGACCUGUUGUGAGAGUACCUGAAGAAAAAGCAUCGGCUAACUCCGUGCCAGCAGCCGCGGUAAUACGGAGGAUGCGAGCGUUAUCCGGAUUUAUUGGGUUUAAAGGGUGCGCAGGCGGGCUGUUAAGGCGGCGGUAAAAAUUCGGGGCCCAACCCUGUCGAGCCGUCGGAACUGGCAGUCUUGAGUGGGCGAGAAGUAUGCGGAAUGCGUGGUGUAGCGGUGAAAUGCAUAGAUAUCACGCAGAACGCCGAUUGCGAAGGCAGCAUACCGGCGCCCAACUGACGCUGAGGCACGAAAGCGUGGGGAUCGAACAGGAUUAGAUACCCGGGUA